ACUACGGGUGGCUGCAGUGGGGAAUAUUGCGCAAUGGGCGAAAGCCUGACGCAGCGACGCCGCGUGAGGGAUGAAGGUCUUCGGAUCGUAAACCUCUGUCAGCAGGGAAGAACGGUCACUGUGCUAAUCAGCAGUGACUUGACGGUACCUGCAAAGGAAGCACCGGCUAAAUCAGUGCCAGCAGCCGCGGUAAUACGGGGGGUGCGAGCGUUAAUCGGAAUUUCUGGGCGUAAAGCGCUCGUAGGCGGUAUGUCAAGUCAAGGGUGAAAUCCCCGCGCUCAACGUGGGAACUGCCGUUGAAACUGGCAAACUGGAGUGUGUGAGAGGAUAGUGGAAUUCCAGGUGUAGGGGUGAAAUGCGUAGAUAUCUGGAGGAACAUCAGUGGCGAAGGCGACUAUCUGGCACAUAACUGACGCUGAGGAGCGAAAGCGUGGGUAGCAAACAGGAUUAGAUACCCCAGUAGUC
RNAcentral lists this ribosomal RNA (465 nucleotides) under uncultured bacterium. RNAcentral's name for it is "partial 16S ribosomal RNA". It matches the Rfam family "Bacterial small subunit ribosomal RNA", at positions 338 to 795 of the family's 1533-position model. The record is from RNAcentral.